Molecule: long non-coding RNA, 4637 nt
Filed under: Panax ginseng (ginseng)
Lineage: Eukaryota; Viridiplantae; Streptophyta; Magnoliopsida; Apiales; Araliaceae
Description: long non-coding RNA (PGIN_LNC007484)
Source: RNAcentral
CCAAAAAUUAGUCUGAAAAUUUGUUUCUAUUAACCAAUCUUAUAGUAUUUUAACAACUAGCUUGCAUAAAGAGGAAAUCAAAAGAAUAAAUUUUCAUGUUUUGUUUCCAGCUUUUUCCCAAAAAAGUAAAUCAACAAUAAAACUAUGCUCUCAAACUGCUGCAAAUAUUUUAAUUAACCUCAUCAUCAUUCGUGCUCUCUGCAAUUCUCUGAACUACAGGGAGAGAAUUCUUGCACUUCUUCAACAUGCUCACUAUCAAAUCUUCUUGCAAUUAUGAUAACAUAGUAGAUGUUUAACCAUAGCAGAUUUCCAACUGAAAUUAUGAAAUUAUUUUAACCUGCUUUUCAUAGCCCUUCACUGCAUGACAUCCCUUCAGAAGCACUUGGAUUAUUUCUAACUGAAAGAAAAUUCAAAUGAAGUUAGGUCUAAUGAGAGGCAUCAUUCAUAAAACCACAUAAACAUUAAAAUUGCAAAGCAUAACAAUGAUCAAUUUUGUAAAUGAUCUCCAUUAUUGUCAGUCAAAGUUUGAAAUUUUGUUGCUAUGAUGAAUUUUAACACGUUUCCAAAUCAAAUACAGUUCUUAAGACAUCUUUUAUAUAUUAACACAUCUUUUCCACCUAUUUCUCAGCGGUUUGACAACAUGUUUGCUAGGGGGAUGCUCUGAUAUAGUGAUAUGAAAUAUAAGUUGUGAUAUCUUGUUCAUUCAAAUAGAGUUAGGUAUUUUCUGCUCAAAUCAACUCCUGAAACCUGAUAACCUUUACCUUUUAUUUGCAAGAGAUGGAAGAUAGCUCGAUUCAAGUUUACUUAUCUAUGAACCUUUCUAACAAAUGAUAGAGAAACAAUUCAUGGAAAAGAAAAAUAAUAACUACUAGCCAAACUCAAACCAUGUUUGCAAUCAUGUGCAUUAUAUAUGUUUGUGUUAAAACAGUUUUAUUUAAUUUCCAUUUUUUUUACAAGUAAUAGAAAAGUUUUCAAUUUGUACACAUAAUUAUAAAGAAAGAAAAAAAAAGUAUUCAGUACCCAAGCAUUGACGGAAAAUUUUAUGGUUUGCCAAUUCAAGUGCAAAGAAGUUAGAGUGGAGGCUGGAGCUGUAGAGUGGAGGCUGGAGCUGUAGAUGUAUUUUAUGAUAACCUGAGCUAUGCUGCCGUGUUUGAUCAUUUGGAGUUGAUGAUGAUGGUUGUGCUUGAUGGUCUCGUUGGCUGAGAAGAACUACUUGUAGACAUUGCCUUAACAAACAAAUCAGGAUCAUGCAUAUCAUAAAAUAAAAAACCACCAAGAUGCUUUUGUUAUUCUUCUUAGUUGUUAGAUUCAUCUUAAUGCGUAUUUAGAUGUUUUAUAUCGAACACAUCAUUUCAUUUUAUAUUCAGAGCUUUUAUUGCAUUUAACUCAUUUAGAUUCUCUUAUACAUUCAUAACUCUAUUGCAUUAACAAAUCGAUUAAUAUCCAAAAUGGGAUUGGAAGAGCUUACAGCUAAACAUCUGCUCUAAAUUAUAACCACAACUGGCAUAACCUGACUCAUAUUGCAUAAAUCAUAAAACUCAUAUUGCACGAAUUAUAUAUAACAUGAGCUGAUAGCUGAGGAACCAUGUAGAAAUUAUUAUUUUGGUGGCGCCACAUGUUAAAAGCAUGCUUUGCACGGGCAUAUAACGGACAAACAUGUAAUCUAUGAUUAUGGCAAUAUACUGAAUCUAAGAAUAUGAAGGGCAGUAACACAUAAAAUAAUGAAAAUAUUAUGUAAAUAAUUCAAAACAAUCAACCACUCAAACAGAGGCCAUAUGCAUGACACUUCAGACUCGAGCAUAUUAUGCAUGCCUUUCAACUAGAACUACAAGAUCAAUAAACUAACCCAGACUAAUUUUGCAUAGAAACAAGAAAAUCUUUAACCGAAGGGUCAUUCGGAUCAACUCCAGGGAGCUGUCAAACCAACAAAGCACCAUAAAAAUCUUAAGGAGAUAAUUCUAUUAUUACAAGUCGUCACUUCUUUAGUUGAUCGAACCCACGCACACAAGUUGACAAGAAUAAGGAGAAAAUAAUGGUUGAGUGUUCCAUAAUACUAAUAGGUGAAAAUGGCAUCUUAGAAACAUACCGAAGCAAAGGAUAGAUGACACAAAUGAUUGGUCUGCCAACAAAUUACUCAUAUCUGUCUGGCUUGAUUGAUCUCUCGCACCUUCCUGCAUAGAUAAUUGGAGAGCUGCAACUAGUAAAGACAUGAAAUCAAACAGCUGAAGAGGGAAGAGGGAAGAGGGGGAAUAGAUGAUAUUUGCCUAGGUGUAGUCGUGUAGAAGACUCUAAAAGUAGGGUUGUCAGAUAUUCUCAUUAACCUAGUAUUGACUUAGUGAACCGUAUAUUAGUACUUGCAUACCCAAACAUGAUACUCACACGUACCAAUACUCUAAAUUUAGUUUACUGAAAUAUUUCUUUAAUGUUUUAUCUAUAAUUGCACAAAAUAUCAAUAUUAUAAUAAUGUCUCAUAUUGUUUAGCGAGGAGUAUCGACAAAUCUUGCUGAGAGUAUUGGAUUUAUAACUUGAAUGACAUUUAUACUAAAUUAUCUAUAAAACAAGACUCAACUAAAAAAAAUUCUGUACACAUUGGUUUACUACAUUCAAAUUCUAAAAGAAUUCCCAACCAUAAAAACUUAUAUAAAGUACCCUAUCGUAUCGCGUUUCAGCUAGACUGCAUAGCUGUUCGUACCACGUACCGAACGAAUCACAUUUCAGGUAACACUGCAGUCUAAAGUAAUUCAAGGAUCCUAUGUUCCAUAUAUAUGCUUUAGAUUCAGCAUAGCUAAGUAAUUGUAUGCGACAUGCUAGUAAUUUCAGGCCUCACUUGGUAUGAAGGAAAAAAAAUUCUCAAAAAUGGUUAUCUCAUUACUUUAAUAAAUCUCCGAUAGUGAAAAUCUAGAAAUAUAUUUUGUAAAGCUUUUGUGGUAUGUUAAGAAUAUUGUUCAAAGAUCUUAAUUUUAGUCAAGUAGAUAAGCCUUAUAUAUUCUUUUAUUAAUUCUUUGAGGGUGGAGAAAAAGAUUACUGCACCAUGAGUAAUGAAUGAAAUACCAACUCUAUGUGAUAAAUCAUAAAUGAAAUAUGAACAAUUAUGUGCACCAAAGGCCAUAAAUUAUCAGUAGAAACGACAUUUCAUUUUCCACUCUCGAUUCCUAAAGAAAUAAGGCCUCAGUGUUUUGGGCAAUUUCCUGCACCCAAGAAAUAAAUUUUGGUAUAACAUGUAUGACAAUUUCCUUCAGCCGUAUUCAUAUUAUCUGACUAUUAUAUUUCAGGUACUGAAACCACAAAGACGUUCUCCAGAAGUUGGGUGAAGCAAUGGGUCUUGCGGUUCCAGGAGAUGCUGACACUUCUGCUGAAACCUCUGGGUUAGAUGAAACUGAUGAAGUGGAAAAUGAGGAUGAAUCCAUUGUUCAUCACACUGCUAGUGUCAGUGAUGUGGAGGUAAAUCAUUUCUGUGUUUACUCUUGUCCUUGGUGCUUGGUGCUAUUAGUUCAUUACAACUUACAAAUGUAUUGACAUUUUUUAUAAUAAUUUUAAUCAAAGUCAAAAUGUGGAAGAAUUUUGUUCGUCGAAGUAGUAUGAACUAUCACUCCUCUCGCAUUCUUUUUCCUUUCUAAUAAAAUUCCCUCUUUUUAUGGAAGUAAAAAGUAGGUGGAUUAAUUAAUUGCUCGUCUUUUGUUACUUGGUAAUUAUUACUAGCUUUUACCAUUUUUUUAGUUCUCGAGAUUAUGAGUUAAAGUACGUUAUUGGUUAUGAGUUUGGUUGUUUUUACAUACAUAUAUACUUGUUUAUCACAAUUGUUUUGUAUUUACUAUUUAUGUAGUUGAAGUGACAGAGAUUUAUCAUGAAGUACUAAACCAACAAGUUCGUUCAUCUUUUUAACUUGUUUGUACUAAACCAAAAGGGUCCUAAGAUUUCCUGUUUGUUCUUUCGUCAACAUGUAUGGAUCAACAUGUGAUUGAUUUUUAGUACGUAGCACGCCCUCUCCAUCACUGUUUGAUCGAUAUAGGAAAUUAAAAGGAUCCCCACUGGAUAGGAGAGGGAAGAAUUCUGACAAUAAUCAAGUACAUAAUUAAAAUUUUGAAACCCCAUUUAAUUCUGUAAUCAGCACAAAGAUGAACUCAUAAUACACAUCAAAUGAGCUCAGCAUUAAACCAGAGCAAGAACAGCUUAAACAAAAAUUCUCUAAAUCCCCAAUUUAUACAUAACAUCAUAAAUUUCUUAAAUUGAAACCUAAAUAUGUGUGUAAGUUUACUUUAGAUUUAAUUUGUGUGUGAAAGCAAAAUUACAAGCUAUUGUGCGUGUUAGUGUGUGUAAAAUUGGGAAAAAGGUCAAAUUGAAUACUAACCGUUACCUACAGGUAAUAGAAGAUAACAAUGGAAGAGAAUGAGGCAAAGCAAGCCGCCGUUGUCGUCGAAAAUUGCAGAAAUUGGAAUUGGCACUUCUUUUUUUGCUAAACUAGGGUAAUAAUGAGUGGGAGGAGAGAAAGGGGAAAUAGAGUAGUGAGGCGGAGGAGAGUGGCUGAGGAGGGUGAGAGAGGAGGAGGAUGAGGAGGCAGCAGGAGAAUGAGAGAGGAGGAGGCGGUAGAUCGAGUAUCAUUUCUCAAGUUGAUCGCUCAUAGUCCAUUUGAAUAAUUU